CUCACUCUCAGAAUCACCAAUAUUUUCCUCAACCGGACUCACUCGGACUCAAACUCACCAAAAGAUUUUCUCACCCGGACUUUCUCAGACUCAGCCCCACAGCCAGACCUGAAUCUGAGCGAGUCUGAGUGAGUUUGAGGACCUGUGGCUCUGUGUAGUGUUAUGUCCACAGGAUAUUAAUUUUACACUUUGCACUUUGGCAUGUUUGCACUUGUGAUACCGUAAACAUUACGUUUUGUCUUGUUCUAGUCUUUCACCUCGUGACGAUGCAAAGGAAAGUAGCGCUCAAGUCUUUGGAAACACUGCCAAUUUUUGUCUUCCUGGAAGCUCUGGUGUCCUUUCUCUGGGCACGCACAGGCGCUGGAAGCUGCUGCAAUGUAAUUACUGCCCGUUCGUGAGCCGCUUUGAGAGCGCCAUCCGCAGGCACCAGCUUCGGCACACCAAGGAGAGGCCACAUCGAUGCGAGUUCUGCCCAAAGAGCUUCCAGCGCAGGUAUCAACUCACUCAGCACAUGGCGAUCCGUCACGGCACCAAGCCUGCCCCCCGGCAAAAGGUGCAAGACUUUGGUGACCACACAGCCUUGCUCGAUCCUGCAAAUGAGUCAUCUGAAUUUGAAAUGGAUAUGGGAGUGAACAUGUUCCAGUUUUAAAUGCGGGACUAAAGAAAUCAAGCAAGGUCGUGAGGUGUUGCAGAGGUGCAGUGGGCAAGUCUUCCAGGGUUCCGCAAUGCCGGUGCAUCCUUGAGUUCUGAACGUGUGAGAGUUUAUGCAUUUGAUGUUGCACCAGGAAGAUGUUUUGUGCAAAGCUCACAAGUGUACAUACAUUGGGCUCCGUCCAAACACAAGAAAAAAGAAGUGUUUGCUUUAUUGAAAGCUUCGUUCAGGCAGAAAGCACUGCAGCUUGAAAUGCUGAUCUUGUUUCACCUCAGGAUAGUGCUAAUUAGGGUGAUAUUUGGCUCUACUUAAUUUCUCACAGCACAAGGGGUCUGUGUGCCAUAACAAUUCUCCGGAGUCAGUGUGUUUAACCUUUUGAGAUGAUAUGUACACAAUUGUGUACACCACUUCGUCUUACUAUUUGUAUCGACUAGGGGCCAAGAAAGAGCACGAUACAUUGAGCUUUAAAUUAAUUGAACCUCCUUCAUAAUAAAUUUGUCUUCAUUUAACUUCAUUUGACAGGGUUAGAAGUACUAACAAUGCAUAAUCUUGGUUUCCUUCACAUUGAGUUGGUGCAUCACCAUGUUGCACACCAGGUAAUAAUUGAGCCAUCGUCACAACUCUCACUUCAAUUACUUCUGCACAAUCAAUAGAGUUCAUUGUCUUCGUUACCUUGUCAAAUACAAGUGAUUUGCUAAGUGGCUACUUAACUACCACUCAGGACAGUCCAUAGGAUGCACACAGCUGUCAAAAAACUGAACAAAGUGAAUGCCAAAGAGUAGCUUACUAAAGCAGCAAGGCAAUAGUUUUGUGAAACAGAGUUCCUUGAACAUUCAGCGUUGCCUACCCAAAUGUUUGGUAGACUGCUGCUGUUCUAUACAUAUUGCAACAUCCAACAAAGACUGAAGUAGUUUCGAUACCAGUAAGGUUGUCCAAUGUUCACAGAGUGCCUGUAUGCGACCAACCGAAUCUGUGUCCACCUCUUUGUUCUUCUCAAGCGAACCGCAAUUCACCAUUGUGUGCUGUAUGCAGCAAGGUGCAUUUCACAAAAAAGUUGUGGUUUUGCCUGAAGGUAGCUGUGGCAGUGUGUCUAACAUCCAUAAAAAGAGUUUGGUAUAUCGCCCCUGUAUAUCGCAGUGAGCAUUUACAUGCAAAUAAAAUCGAGUACAGUGCGUGUGCGUGCACAGGCAAACGCGGACACCUCUUAUUUUAUGGCUGCAAACUCUUGUCUUCCACAGUGUUGGCAUAAUGAGCAGUGUAAACAGAAGUGAGCAAAUGCACUCAGUCGCUUCUUGCUUCUUCAAGAUGAGUCAAGCUGCAACGUUAAGCGUGUACAGAUCCAUGAAUGCUGGCGGAGAGAGUUGCAUGAGCCCCUCAUCUUGCUCAGUCCUUGAAACAGCUGCAGAUUACAUCCAAGAUUGGGUGCGCAGGCAUUUUUGUGACAACCUAUGCUGGCAUGGAGGGCAUCGUCUUUCACUACUCUGACCUUCCCAUGUGGGGCUGACUGGAAGUGGUAUUUGCACUUCACCCGCCGCCUGCCAAGACUGCAUGCUCCUUCGCAUGCUUUCUCUCAGUUCCGCAGUGUACCGCAUGAGGGGCAAUCUAAAGUCCUCUUGCACUUUCCUUUGUACCUACCGGCCCAGUGAUAACACUACACGGCGCAUUUUCAGUAGAAGUGUUGUUAUUAUUACUUUUACAAUGAAAUGUAAUAUAUCUGUUCCUGCUAUUCUGUUUCAUGUUGUGGUGGCAAGAUGUUAUAUUCAAACAAAAAAAAAAGUUUUUGGAAUCCCUAUUUUGCUGUCUCAUUUCUGCCUUGCCUUUGUGUGGUGGGUGUUGUCACCAAAUUUAGGUUAACCACAGCAAGUAUAUAUAGUAGAGCUUGUUUAAUGAAUUCUCAUAAGAAACUGGUGUAGCCAAGCAGGAUCAUUAUGUUGCACACAGUCAAAUUAACUUGUGUAGCGAUUCAGACAGUGGUAGUAACUGAUUCGGGCCAUAGACUCUGAUAAGAGAAAAUCUCGCAACCCAAUUUUUGUGUUAUGGCAUUAUACGUUGUAAAAUACUGGAGUGUUUAAACAAAACAUUUGUUCCACUUCAGAUAAAAGAUCCAGUUUUGGUUAAAAAUAACAGUUCAAAGUGUUUUACAUUCAUGUAACCUUGUAAAUAUUGUGGGAAACGAUCAUGAAUUAAUUUUCCACAAAAUCAUCACCAUGUUGCGGAACAGCCCGGAAAGAUUCAGUGUUGCAGUUGUUCAUGCCGCAAGUAUUUUAAAAGGAGUGACAUUCUGAAAUUGCCCCUAUCAUUCUCAUUACAUCUACUUCAGUUUUUUACACAAGUGUUAUCAAAAUCAAAGUAAAUAAAGAGUGGUCUUGUCAUUAAUACAGUGUUGCAUUACAAAU
Molecule: long non-coding RNA, 3048 nt
Organism: Rhipicephalus sanguineus (brown dog tick)
Lineage: Eukaryota; Metazoa; Arthropoda; Arachnida; Ixodida; Ixodidae
Exons: 3
Source: RefSeq, a predicted model, not a curated record